This 1002-nucleotide ribosomal RNA is filed under the name Trapezionida notata. Its description in RNAcentral is "SSU rRNA". It matches the Rfam family "Eukaryotic small subunit ribosomal RNA", at positions 37 to 982 of the family's 1831-position model. Lineage: Eukaryota; Metazoa; Arthropoda; Malacostraca; Decapoda; Munididae. The record is from RNAcentral.
UCAAAGAUUAAGCCAUGCAUGUGUCAGUACAAACUAAAUCCAAAGUGAAACCGCAAAUGGCUCAUUAAAUCAGCUAUGAUUCAUUGGAUCUGUACACCCAGUUUUCCUUGGAUAACUGUGGUAAUUCUAGAGCUAAUACAUGCACAUAUAGUCCCUAACCUCACGGGAAGGGCGCUUUUAUUAGUAUCAAAACCGGUCUGGCUUCGGUCUGUAAAACCAGUUGUGAUGACUCUGGAUAAUUUAAGCUGAGCGCACGGUCUUUGCACUGGCGCCGCUUCUUUCAAGUGUCUGCCUUAUCAGCUGUCGAUUGUAGGUUAUGUGCCUACAAUGGCUAUAACGGGUAACGGGGAAUCAGGGUUCGAUUCCGGAGAGGGAGCCUGAGAAACGGCUACCACAUCCAAGGAAGGCAGCAGGCACGCAAAUUACCCACUCCCAGCUUGGGGAGGUAGUGACGAAAAAUAACGAUGCGAGACUCAUCCGAGGCCUCGCAAUCGGAAUGAGUACACUUUAAAUCCUUUAACGAGGAUCAAUUGGAGGGCAAGUCUGGUGCCAGCAGCCGCGGUAAUUCCAGCUCCAAUAGCGUAUAUUAAAGUUGUUGCGGUUAAAAAGCUCGUAGUUGGAUUUCAGGAUUGGACUGAAGGUUCGCCGUGAGGCGUUUAAAACCUAUCAGAAUCCGAAACCAGCUAUCACAACAACUUUGUGUAUGCCCACACUAGCUCACACGGGGUGUUCUUAAUUGAGUGCCCCGCGUGGCUGGUAUGUUUACUUUGAAAAAAUUAGAGUGCUCAAAGCAGGCCAACUGAAUGGCCUGAAUGUCUAUGCAUGGAAUAAUGUAAAAGGACCUCGGUUCUAUUUUAUCCGGGCUUUUUGUGGAACCCGAGGUAAUGAUUAACGGAGAUGAAUGGGGGCAUUAGUACUGCGACGCUAGAGGUGAAAUUCUUGGACCGUCGCAAGACUAACAACAGCGAAAGCAUUUGUCAAGAUUGUUUUCAUUAAUCAAGA